UACAGAGGUGGCAAGCGUUGUUCGGAAUUACUGGGCGUAAAGGGCUCGUAGGCGGCCAACUAAGUCAUACGUGAAAUCCCUCAGCUUAACUGGGGAACUGCGUGUGAUACUGGAUGGCUUGGAUUUGGGAGAGGGAUGCGGAAUUCCAGGUGUAGCGGUGAAAUGCGUAGAUAUCUGGAGGAACACCGGUGGCGAAGGCGGCAUCCUGGACCAAUAUUGACGCUGAGGAGCGAAAGCCAGGGGAGCAAACGGG
Molecule: ribosomal RNA, 253 nt
Filed under: uncultured bacterium
Lineage: Bacteria
Description: partial 16S ribosomal RNA
Rfam family: Bacterial small subunit ribosomal RNA
Source: RNAcentral